RNAcentral lists this ribosomal RNA (380 nucleotides) under uncultured eukaryote. Its description in RNAcentral is "partial 18S ribosomal RNA". It matches the Rfam family "Eukaryotic small subunit ribosomal RNA", at positions 592 to 976 of the family's 1831-position model. The record is from RNAcentral.
CAAUAGCGUAUAUUAAAGUUGUUGCGGUUAAAAAGCUCGUAGUUGGAUUUCUGCCGAGGACGACCGGUCCGCCCUCUGGGUGUGUAUCUGGUUUGGCCUGGGCAUCUUCUUGGAGAACGUAGCUGCACUUGACUGUGUGGUGCGGUGUCCAGGACUUUUACUUUGAGGAAAUUAGAGUGUUUCAAGCAGGCACACGCCUUGAAUACAUUAGCAUGGAAUAAUAAGAUAGGACCUCGGUUCUAUUUUGUUGGUUUCUAGAGCUGAGGUAAUGAUUAAUAGGGAUAGUUGGGGGCAUUCGUAUUUAACUGUCAGAGGUGAAAUUCUUGUAUUUGUUAAAGACGGACUACUGCGAAAGCAUUUGCCAAGGAUGUUUUCAUUGA